CGACUCUCGGCAACGGAUAUCUCGGCUCACGCAUCGAUGAAGAACGUAGCAAAAUGCGAUACUUGGUGUGAAGUGCAGAAUGAGUCUUUGAACGCAAGUUGCGCCCGAAGCCAUUCGGUCGAGGGCACGUCUGCCUGGGCGUCACGC
This 147-nucleotide ribosomal RNA is filed under the name Schistostephium crataegifolium. RNAcentral's name for it is "5.8S ribosomal RNA". It matches the Rfam family "5.8S ribosomal RNA". From Rfam's summary of the family: 5.8S ribosomal RNA (5.8S rRNA) is a component of the large subunit of the eukaryotic ribosome. The record is from RNAcentral. Lineage: Eukaryota; Viridiplantae; Streptophyta; Magnoliopsida; Asterales; Asteraceae.